Molecule: long non-coding RNA, 5638 nt
Organism: Anolis carolinensis (green anole)
Lineage: Eukaryota; Metazoa; Chordata; Lepidosauria; Squamata; Anolidae
Exons: 2
Source: RefSeq, a predicted model, not a curated record
UAUAUAUAUAUAUAUAUAUAUAUAUACACACACACACACACACAUACACACACACACACACACACACACAGUAGAGUCUCACUUAUCCAAGCUAAAUGGGCCGGCAGAAGCUUGGAUAAGCGAAUAUCUUGGAUAAUAUGGAGGUAUUAAGGAAAAACCUAUUAAACAUCAAAUUAGGUUAUGAUUUUACAAAUUAAGCACCAAAACAUCAUGUUAUACAACAAAUUUGACAGAAAAGGCAGUUCAACACACAGUAAUGUUAUGUUGUAAUUACUGUAUUUAUGAAUUUAGCACCAAAAUAUCACGAUAUAUUGAAAACAUUGACUACAAAAAUGGCUUGGAUAAUCCAGAAACUUGGAUAAGCGAGGCUUGGAUAAGUGAGACUCUACUGUGUGUGUGUGUGUGUGUGUGUGUGUAUACAGUAGAGUCUCACUAAUCCAAGCCUCGCUUAUCCAAGCUUCUGCCGGCCCAUUUAGCUUGGAUAAGUGAGACUCUACUGUAAACACAUAACAAAAGUGAAAAUUUGUAUGUGUGUAUGUGGCAGAGGUGUCUACUUACACACAUAGCCUCCCACCUCCACAAACAGCUACAACCCACAGUGCUGAGGAGCCAUCAAAAGCACUCCCUCCAAUGACAUUUCAGGUUACAGCGAGCUCCAUGAACAUGUAGCCCAAACCCUGCCAGUGUCCUCCCCAAACAUUGGCCCACCACCCAAGGAAUGCUUUCAUUCAGGGACAAUUUCCGCCUAGAUUUUACGUGUUUCCUCCACCACAGGCAGGCAUCCCAGUGUUCCUUACUCUCUCCAUUGGUGUGGAAUUUGCAUGACCACACCCAUUGCCUCUCCCUUAACCCUUUCCUACUCUUUUCAACUCUGUCUUCAUAACAAACAGAGUGGAACUGAGCAGCAACUAAACAUACUGGAGGAGUUUGGGGGAUUGAAGCCACAUGGCGGAAGUUGUAGUUCACCCUGCAUCAAGUCAGAGCACUGUGACUUCCACUGAGAAUUGACCUGGACCACAUUUGGCACACAGAACCCCCAUGACCAACGAAAAAUACUGGAAAGGUUUGGGAGGAAUUCACCUUGAUUUAUAGCCAUAGGUACUGGGAUUUAUAGUUCACCUGCAAUCACCGAGGAUGGACCAGGACCAAACUUGGCACAGAGAACCCUCCUGACCAAUUAAACACAUUGCAGGGGUUUGGGGGAAUUGACCUUGAUUUUGGGAGUUGUUCAUCUGCAUCCAAAGAAACAGUGACCCCCACCGACAAUGACUGGGAACAAACUUGACACAGAGAAGCCUCUGCAGGGGUUUCUGGAAAUCGACCUUGAUUUUGGGAGUUGUAGUUCACCUGCAUCCAGAGAAACAGUGACCAUCACCGACAAUGGACCGGGACCCAACUUGGCACAGAGAAGCCUUAUGACCAACUGAACAUACUGCAGGGGUUUGUGGGAAUUGACCUUGAUAUUAGGAGUUGUAGUUCACCCUUAUCCACAGAGCACUGAACCCAGCCAACAUCGGAUCUGCAUCAAAUGUGACACACAGACCCAACAUGGCCCACUGUGCAUACAGACCUCAUUUGGGGGUGAUUGGCCUUGGCAUAUGGGAGUUGUAGUUCACCCUUAUCCAAACAGCCCUGAACCCAGCCGACAACCCAGCCGUCAAAUAACCCAGGCACCGCCGGGUCCCCAUGCUAGUAUAUAUGUGAGCGGCCGCUGUUAGCUCCAGCUCCUGCUAACCUAGCAGUUCGAAAACAUGCCAAUGUGAGUAGAUCAAUAGGUACUGCUCCUGCGGGAAGGUAACAGCGCUCCAUGCAGUCAUGCCGGCCACAUGACCUUGGAGGUGUCUACGGACAACGCCGGCUCUUCGGCUUAGUAAUGGAGAUGAGCACCAACCCCCAGAGUCAGACAUGACUGGGGAACGUCGGGGGAAAACCUUUACCUUUAUAUAUAUAUAGAUAUAGAUAUAUAAUAUAUGUAUAUAUAGAUAUACAAUAUAGUCCCUUCUUAGAAUCUGGAAACAUUAUUUGUGAACAAGAAGCAGAAUCAUAGCCACGAUCCUGGACUGCCUCAACCAUAUCUCACAUUUACCAUUUCCUAAUUCAUUUUCUUACUCAUCUUGCUCUUUAGGCCAAAAACACUUUCCAGAUCUCUUUCCCACCGAGCCUUGUCCCCAUCCUCCAAUCCCCAUAUUAAACAUGAGGCCUUAAUCCAGAUUUCCCAAUCCUAUGGCCUCCUUCAGAUACAUUGGACUCCCAUAAACACGCUCCAACAUGGUAGCUGGGGAUGGUGGGAGGUGUCCGAUACGUUGCUGACGGAGCCUGACUUGGACCCUCCGCAGUUGUCACUUCCAAAAAAAGACCACUGUGCCCUUACAUUCCUCCUUUUGUUUCCUGGGCUCUUCUUCCAGGAAGCGGCUUUGCAGCUGGCAUCCUUUUGAUUGUUGAAACAACUUCAUGUGCUGGUGACGCCAAGCUGAUAAAUAAAAGACAAAUUAAUGGGUGAAUACAAAAUAGCAUCAAGAUUUUCCUGCUGUAAUGCUCCACUUCCUCAGGCCUUAAGAAUAUUUCUUGCUGAGAGUGGAAGUAAUAGCUCCCAUCUCUAUUCUCUUCCCAGCUUUCUGCUCUUACCAUUGACCAAACUUUUUCUAUGUUGCCUGAUGAUUUAUUAUGGCAACCCAAUACAUUUUGUCAUAAAGUUUCCUCAGAGGUGGUUUAUGUCACUUCCUUCCACUGAAAUAUAGCCAAUGGCACUUGAUAUUCAUUGGUGGUCUCCCAUCCAAGUGCCAGCUAAUGCUGACCCUUCUUAGCUUCUAUGAUUUGGUGCCCGUAGUCUAAUUAAACCCUUUCUACACUGCCAUAUAAUCCAGAUCAUCAAAGCAGAUAAUCUACAUUAUCGUCUUUGAACUGGAUUAUAUGAAUCUACACUGCCAUAUAAUUCAGUUCAGAGCAGACCAUUUGGAUUUUAUAUGGCAGUGUAGAAGAGGCCUUAGGUUGCAUCUACACUGUGGAAUUAAUGCAGUUUGACACUGAAGGGGUACCUUUAACACCAUAUUCAAUGCAUGCUAUACAAUCCCAGAAGCUGUAGUUUUAUGGAUUUGUUAGCUUUCUUUGCCAAAGAGGGCUGGUGCUUCACCAAACUACAAUUCCUACAAUCCCACAGGAUUAAGCCAUAGCAGUUAAAGUGGUGUCAAACUGCAUUAAUUCUGCAGUGCAGAUGCACCCUUUGGUGUCUUUUGUCUUCUUUCUUCCCAUCUUCCCCACCUUCCUAUCAAAGCCUUAUCCAGUUUUCACCUCUUUCCUUCAUCCAUCUCUUGAUAACUUUCCAAUUAAGCUAAUUCAAGUCUCCAGGACCAGAUCAUCUACAUCCAAGAGUAUUGAAGGAACUAGCGGAAGUUAUUUUGGAACUACUGGCAAUCAUCUUUAAGAGUUCUUGGAGAAGUCCCAGCAGAUUGGAGGAGGUCCCUAUCUUCAAGAAGGGAAAAAAGGACGACCCAAACAAUUACUGUCCGGUCAGCCUCACGUCAAAACCAGGAAAAGAUUGUUAAGGAAGUGGUCUGCAAACACUUAGAAAGGAAUGCAGUCAUCGCAAAUAGACAACAUGGAUUUAUCAAAAACAAGUCUAAUCUAAUCUAAUCAAAAAUAAACUAAUCUGAUCUCUUUUUUCAAUAGAGUUACAAGCUGGAUAGAUGCAAGGAACACCGUGGAUGGAGGCGUAUCUGGAUUUCAGGAAGGCCUUCCUUCAACAAGGUCCCCCAUGACCUUUUGGCAAACAAACUGGUCCUAUGUGGUCUAGGCAAAACUACACAGUGUUCCUUGAUUUCAAGGAGACUGGAGGGUUUUCAGCUGGACCACGUUGCCAUGGCGACGGGAUGCAGGCUGGAUCGCUUUGGACGGGGAUGCUGCUGCGAAAGGAAGCCGAGACCGAGAAAGAGAGAGGCAGCUGUGCCGAUUCAUGCCGAGGCUAUUUAGGAUGAGACAAUAUAGGGACGUUUUUAACAGAGAGGCAGGAACCCCCUCCAUUUCCCCUCUCUGCGGUUUUCUUCCUGACAGUGACCUAAUAAAGGAACGUUUUGAAACCUUUUUCUCUAUUCAUCCUCUUCUCCCCUUAAUUCGAAUGCUAGUUUUAUUGGAAUAAGGUGCAGUCUGCCUUGUAUCAGAAUCCUCAUGAUUUUCCUUUCCCACCUCCCCCAAGAAACCCUUAAAUAGACCAAAUUUGCUAAAGAGGGAAUAUGGUAAAACACGGGGAGACAAUGGUUGCAUCAAACACUGUAGAACUGAUGCAGUUUGAUGCCACUUUAACUGCCAUGGCUCAAUGCUAUGGAAUCCUCAGAUAUAGUAAUGCUACAACUACAGUAGAGUCUUAUCCAAGCUAAAUGGGCUGGAAGAAGCGAAUAUCUUGGAUAAUAAGGAGGGAUUAAGGAAAAGCCUAUUAAACGUCAAAUUAGGUUAUGAUUUUACAAAUUAAGCACCAAAACAUCAUGUUAUACAACAAAUUUGACAGAAAAAGUAGUUCAGUAUGCAAGAAUGUUAUGUUGUAAUUACUGUAUUUACAAAUUUAGCACCAAAAUAUCACGAUAUAUUGAAAACAUUGACUACAAAAAUGGCUUGGAUAAUCCAGAGGCUUGGAUAAGCGAGGCUUGGAUAAGCGAGACUCUACUGUACUACUAAUACUUUAUAUUAGUAAAUAAUAAUAUUUUUAUCAUGUCAGAAGCGACUUGAGAACAUACUGCAAGUCACUUCUAGUGUGAGAAAAUUGGCCAUCUACAGAGACGUUGCCUAGGGAUGCCCGGAUGUGUUACUGGGAGGCUUCUCUCAUGUCCCUGCAAGCUAGAGCUGACAGAUGGAUGCUCACUCUAUCCUGUGGAUUUGAACCAGUAACCUUCAGGUCAGCAACCCAACCUUUAGGUCAGCAGUUCACAAGGGUUUAACCCAUUGUGCCACUGCGGCUCCAAAUAAUAAUAAUGAUGAUGAUGAUGAUGAUGAUGAUGAUGAUGAUGAUGAUGAUGACCCAAAAUGCAGACUGUGCAAGGAAGCUGAAGAAAAUCGCACAGACAGACUACAAACAGAGACACAACUAUGUGGCCCAAAUGAUUCAUUGGAACUUAUGCCUCAAGUACCACCUUCCAGCAGUAAAGAACUGGUGGGAUCACAAACCUGCAGAAGUAUUGGAAAAUGAGCACGCAAAGAUAUUGUGGGACUUCCGAAUCCAGAUUGACAAAGUUCUGGAACACAACACACCAGACAUCACAGUUGUGGAAAAGAAAAAGGUUUGGAUCAUUGAUGUUGUCAUACCAGGUGACAGUCGCAUUGACAAAAAAACAACAGGAAAAACUCAGCGCUAUCAGGACCUCAAGACUGAACUUCAAAGACUCUGGCAGAAACCAGUACAGGUGGUCCCGGUGGUGAUCGGCACAUUGGUGCCGUGCCGAAAGAUCUCAGCCGGCAUUUGGAAACAAUAGACAUUGACAAAAUUAUGAUCUGCCAGCUGCAAAAGGCCACCCUACUGGGAUCUCCACGCAUCAUCCGAAAAUACAUCACACAGUCCUAGACACUUGAGAAGUGUUCGAUUUUGUGAAAUGAAAUCCAGCAUAUGUAUCUUGUUUGCUGUGUCAUACAAUAAAAUAAUAAUAAUAAUAAUGCA